Molecule: ribosomal RNA, 429 nt
Filed under: uncultured bacterium
Lineage: Bacteria
Description: partial 16S ribosomal RNA
Rfam family: Bacterial small subunit ribosomal RNA
Source: RNAcentral
CCUACGGGGGGCAGCAGUCGGGAAUUUUGGGCAAUGGGCGAAAGCCUGACCCAGCAACGCCGCGUGAAGGAUGAAGUAUUUCGGUAUGUAAACUUCGAAAGAAUGGGAGACGGUACCAUUUAUAAGCUCCGGCUAACUACGUGCCAGCAGCCGCGGUAAUACGUAGGGAGCAAGCGUUGUUCGGAUUUACUGGGCGUAAAGGGCGCGUAGGCGGCAAAUUAAGUCAGCUGUGAAAUCUCCGAGCUUAACUCGGAACGGUCAGCUGAUACUGAUCUGCUAGAGUGCGGAAGGGGCAAUCGGAAUUCUUGGUGUAGCGGUGAAAUGCGUAGAUAUCAAGAGGAACACCUGAGGUGAAGACGGGUUGCUGGGCCGAAUGACGCUGAUGCGCGAAAGCCAGGGGAGCAAACGGGAUUAGAUACCCUUGUAGUC